CACGGCUUGUAAUUCUGUUGCAGCUCUCGCUCCCAGCUGAUAGGGUGACGUGCAGUUCGCAGGCUCGCAGAUUGGCUUUUUGAUUUGGCUUCUUGCUGCAGUUGUGCAAACCUCGGCGUCUCGCGGCAAUCGGGCUGAGCGCCGCUCUGCUGCGCGGUGCGGGGAGCUCGGACGCGCCGGGGAAGCCCGGCACGUUCAUUGCCAUCUGGGGUACAGCCCAUUUUCUCCCCUCCCUCUUCGACCCUCGUCCAUCUCCAUCCUCCUCCCCCUUCCCUCUCCGUGCCCGGAGCUGAAGACCGAGGCUGGUGGAUUUACCGACGUCUCCCGUCCCCCCACCCCUUUUCCAGAUGCACCUCCCCGCUCACCCUGACAGCUGCACAAGAGAGCCCAGGUUCCGUAGCGAGCACGGCAACUUGGAAUGACAUGCGGAGGAGCAGCCCCGCACACAGGCACGGCGGUGGUACCCACGAGAUGCAGUGAGCUCCGUUAGGAACCGGAAGGAUUUAUCCCAUUGGAGCCUACCCCCCCACCUCUCAAAAACUCAGGAAAGCCACCAGAAGGGGUUCUCGGCCUUUUUGGAUCUACACAGUGGAAGUUGCAUCUUGUGUAUGGCGUGGUUAAGCUUGCAGCCUCUCACCUCGGCCUUCCUCCAUUUUGGGCUGGUUACUUUUGUGCUGUUUUUGCAUGGUUUGCAGGUGGAUGCUGGCCUGACGGGAGACUCAACCAGUUCAGUACAAAACAGCUCGUGUUCAGGAUCUUUUGACUGCAAGGAAGGUGUUAUCCUGCCAAUAUGGUACCCAGAAAACCCAUCCCUUGGGGACAAAAUUGCCCGUGUUAUUGUAUACUUUGUAGCACUGAUCUACAUGUUCCUUGGAGUCUCCAUCAUUGCAGAUCGUUUCAUGGCAUCUAUAGAGGUCAUUACAUCACAAGAGAAAGAAAUCACGAUUAAGAAACCCAAUGGAGAGACCACAACAACAACCAUUCGGAUCUGGAACGAGACUGUUUCCAACCUGACCCUGAUGGCUCUGGGCUCAUCCGCUCCUGAGAUCCUUCUGUCCGUCAUCGAAGUGUGUGGCCAUGGAUUCGUAGCUGGAGACCUGGGGCCAUCUACAAUUGUUGGCAGUGCUGCCUUCAAUAUGUUUAUCAUUAUUGCCAUCUGUGUCUACGUGAUCCCUGAUGGGGAAACCAGAAAGAUAAAACACCUGAGAGUUUUCUUUGUCACAGCUGCAUGGAGCAUCUUUGCUUACAUCUGGUUGUACAUGAUCCUUGCUGUCUUCUCUCCAGGGGUGGUGCAGGUCUGGGAAGGUCUGCUCACGCUUUUCUUCUUUCCACUUUGUGUUCUUCUGGCCUGGAUAGCAGAUAGACGUCUGCUUUUCUAUAAGUAUAUGCACAAAAAGUACCGUACUGACAAGCACAGGGGCAUUAUCAUAGAAUCAGAAGGUGAUCACCCUAAGGGAAUUGAGAUGGAUGGCAAGAUGAUGAACUCCCACUUUCUGGAUGGAAACUUAGUGACUGUGGAGGGGAAAGAGGUAGAUGAAUCUCGCAAAGAGAUGAUCCGGAUCCUUAAGGAUCUGAAGCAAAAACACCCAGAAAAGGAUUUGGACCAGCUGGUAGAAAUGGCCAAUUACUAUGCCUUGUCACAUCAGCAGAAGAGCAGAGCCUUUUAUCGCAUUCAGGCUACCAGAAUGAUGACAGGGGCUGGCAAUAUCCUGAAGAAGCAUGCAGCUGAGCAAGCCAAGAAGAGCACCAGCUUGCACGAGGUGCGGCCGGAUGAGCCUGAGGAAUUCAUCUCCAAAAUUUAUUUUGACCCGUGCUCCUAUCAGUGUCUUGAGAACUGUGGUGCUGUUCUCCUGACGGUGGUGCGGAAAGGAGGGGAUGUGUCCAAGACCAUCUAUGUGGACUAUAAAACUGAGGAUGGCUCUGCCAAUGCUGGUGCUGACUAUGAGUUCACAGAGGGGACUGUCGUCUUGAAAUCAGGGGAGACCCAGAAGGACUUUGCAGUGGGAAUUAUUGAUGACGACAUCUUUGAGGAGGAUGAACAUUUCUUUGUGCGGCUUAGUAACCUCCGUGUGGUGGACAGUGAGGAACCUCCAGAGCUUGGUAACUCCCCAUACCCAAAGGCCAUACUGGCUUCUCCUUGUGUGGCGACAGUGACUAUCCUGGAUGAUGACCAUGCUGGCAUCUUCACGUUUGAGUGUGAUGUUAUACAUGUCAGUGAGAGCAUUGGUGUGAUGGAAGUCAAAGUCCUAAGGACAUCAGGUGCUCGGGGUACAGUCAUAGUGCCAUUUAGGACAGUAGAAGGCUCAGCCAAAGGUGGAGGAGAAGACUUUGAAGACACCUGUGGGGAGCUGGAGUUCAAGAAUGAUGAAACUGUCAAAACAAUUCACAUCAAAGUAAUUGAUGAUGAGGAGUAUGAAAAAAACAAGAGUUUCUUCAUUGAGCUGAUGAGCCCCCGCAUGGUGGAUAUGAGUUUACAGAAAGCUCUGCUGCUCACCCAAGAAGUAGCCGAGAGGAAGCUGACAGUUGAAGAAGAAGAAGCCAAGAGGAUUGCAGAGAUGGGCAAACCAAUACUUGGCGAACACCCCAAACUAGAAGUCAUCAUUGAGGAGUCCUAUGAGUUCAAGAGCACUGUGGACAAACUCAUUAAGAAGACAAACCUAGCUUUGGUUGUAGGGACACAUUCCUGGAGGGACCAGUUUUUGGAGGCCAUCACCGUCAGCGCAGCGGGUGAUGAAGACGAGGAUGAGUCUGGUGAAGAGCGCCUGCCAUCCUGUUUCGACAUCGUGAUGCAUUUCUGACCGUCUUCUGGAAGGUGCUGUUUGCCUGCGUGCCCCCACCGAGUACUGCAAUGGCUGGGCCUGCUUCGUUGUCUCCAUCCUCAUCAUUGGCAUGCUCACAGCUGUCAUAGGUGACCUCGCCUCCCACUUCGGCUGCACCCAUCGGCCUCUAAGGAUUCGGUGACCGCUGUUGUGUUUGUAGCCUUCGGCACCUCUGUACCAGACACGUUUGCCAGCAAAGCUGCAGCCAUCCAGGAUGUGUAUGCCGAUGCCUCCAUCAGCAACGUCACAGGCAGCAACGCGUCAACGUCUUCCUGGGCAUUGGGCUGGCAUGGUCGGUGGCGGCAAUCUACUGGGCAUCGCAGGGCAGGGAGUUCCAAGUGUCAGACCGGCACCCUGGCCUUCUCUGUCACCCUCUUCACCAUCUUCGCCUUCAUCUGCAUCAGUGUUCUCCUCUACCGCCGGCGGCCCCACCUUGGGGGAGAGCUGGGCGGUCCCCGGGGUUGCAAACUGGCCACAACAUUGCUCUUUGUCAGCCUGUGGCUGCUGUACAUCCUCUUUGCCACCCUGGAGGCCUAUUGCUACAUCAAGGGGUUUUAGGCGGCGAAGAGACGAUGCCGCCAAGGGAGGGACCCCCUCCUCCAUUACCUCACCAGACACCGGCCCUAGUUGCACGGAUUCAGCAGGAGGGACGGCUGUCAGCCCACAGCCCUGAUGGCUGGGUGCCGGGAUGGGCAGAUCCAUCACGGGAUGAAAAAGAAAUCCACGAAAACCACCCCAAAAAUGAUGCAAGAGCAAAGAAAGCAACAAUGGCAAGCAUUUAAAUGAACAAAAUGAAGUGAACCCAGCCGCUGACCCCAGUCUAUGUGACUAAGAAGUCUCAGCCAUCUCCCAAGGCCACCUCUCCCACAGGUUUGUUUCCUCUUCUCUGGAGCACCCCUCCACUCCAAGGAGAUGCUGUCUUGUUUUUACUCUUUAGGAACUGCAGAAGUCUGAUAGGAAAUUUAUUAUUAUUUUUUCUUUUGCCUAUUGCUUUUUAGUUUGGGGGGGAAAGAGGGCAGCACAUGGCUUGAUUUUAGUUUAUUUUAUUUUUAUUAUUUUCAAUUUAUUAUUAUUAUUUUUUUUACUACUUAGACAGAAAAAUGUUAAAAGUUUAAAAUCUAAAGCUUCAAGCUGCCGUCAGUGCUGGAAUGGAAGGUGUACUUUUUGAAGCCACAACAGACUCUGACACUGUCAAAGAACUUUUUCUCUCUCACAAGUUUCCUCCCCCGCCUCCAUCCAUUUCUUUCUUUUUUAAGAGCAUCACAGGACUGAUAUAUUUUUAAUACAAACACACACACACACACACACACACACACACAUACACACAUACACACACACACACACCAGUUCAGUGACGAAGGCUGAAGCAUGUAGCAUCUCAAUCACCUGCCUGGGCUAAGACAAAAAAAAAAAAAAAACAGGAGGAAAAAGAAAACCCAACCAACCCUCUAAUAUAAUAUGUAUCAUGUAUAUUUUGACUAUGGUAUUUCUCUUUGUAUAAUUAACUUUGAGCUUGUGUUACUGCAGGAAGAGAAAAUGAUGCUAAUGGGCGAGAGGUAGCAAAAUGAACAGCCAAGGGGCCUGGGAGGUGGUGUGGGCUGCCCAAGAUGGCAGUGGUGGCAUAGCCCUGUCCUGUAGGUCGCACUGGAUGUGGGAAUGAAUCCCACUGAGUAACACGCUGCUCUGGUCUACCAAAGUGAGCAGAAAGGCUCUGCAUGUCCUCUUUCAGCAGUGGCCUUUCAGGUUGAGGUUAGGUUUAAAUAUGCAGGUUGGUGAAGAGGAGGUGGGGGGGUCUCUGUCCCACUCAUCACGCCCCCUCAUGCUCCAUGGAAAGGGCCGGGCUUCAAAGUGCCACCCACCUGCAGUCCUGUGCCAACCCCAGCACAUCCCAGGAGAGCAGGCAGGCAGACAGGCACACCCUUUUCAUCUGAAGUGCAUUUCUUUUUCAGGAAACAAAACAAAAACAAAGCAGGAGUAUGUCAUGAAUUACAUCAACGUCUGCAAACCGAAAUGUUGGGUUGGUAAUAAAAUGAAAUAAAACUUAUACCUAUAUCUAUAUAAACAGUUCUAUCUAUAAACACAUUUCUUAACUGAGAGACCUGGAAGAUGUUGUUAAAAACUUUGCUUUUUUAGAAGUGUUUCCAAGAGGAAGAUAAUUUCUUUUAUCAAGAAACAGGUGCUGUACAGGGCAAUCCGUGACUCCGUUAGCAUCACCCAAACCCAGGCAGUCAGCACAGCAUGGGCAUGAGGGGCUGUCAGCAUACUGGAGUGCUUCCUGCUGCCCCAGGACAGGGAGACAGUGGCUGCAGGUGAGGGCAAAGCAGCAGGAGUCAGGCUGUCGUGGAUGGAACAUGCGUAUCAUUAUAGCAGGUAAAGAGAUGAGUGUCACAGUGGUCCUUAAAACACAGAUGAAAUAUUUAUUUUCUUACAAAAGGUUUAUUGCGUAUCUUGCUGUAUAAGUGUGUGUAAGCAUGAGGCAGAGAAGAAGGAUCCAUUCUUGUAGGAGCUUUGCAGGUGGAGUGCUCUUCGUGGAAGCCAAAAGGAAGACAGUCUGCUGCCUCUCCUCCUCCCUCUGCAGUGGCUACGUGUGUUGGUCUCUCUGGUCUCUGGCCAUCACCCACUGAGCAGCUCCUGCCUGCAUUGGGUACCACCUCUGCUGCCACCCAGGCUGGGACCCCAAAGCACAGAUGUGCAACAUGGAAGGAAAGAUGAAAGAAGCCCCCCAGAUGAUCUCUGUAUGUGUGUGUAGGGGUGUUUAAGGUGCAAGGGGAUUCUGUUAUCAUCGCAGUUUUUAAUUUGGACGUGUCAAGUCUGUUGAGUUCUCGUUUUAACCAUAUCAGUUCACCCAUUCCUGGCUAAAACCUGGACAUGAGGAGCUGCAGUGCUGUUAUUCUGUUGCUUGUGCUGUAUCGGUCAUGUGCUUUUCAUCUGCAGCUUUCUUAGGCUCACUCUGUGGGAGGGGGUGCAGGGGGACGAGCAUCUGUGACUGCCAGUUAGUUGCAUGGUGACUUUGGUGCCCUCUAUGCACUGCGGAGAUCUGUGCCAAGCUGAAAACUUCAGUGGAGUGUUUCUUUUAUUUUUCCUUUUUUACUUCAUUAAAAAAUAUGCAAGCUUAAAAAAAAAAAAAAAAAAAAA
Molecule: non-coding RNA, 5954 nt
Organism: Coturnix japonica (Japanese quail)
Lineage: Eukaryota; Metazoa; Chordata; Aves; Galliformes; Phasianidae
Source: RefSeq, a predicted model, not a curated record